RNAcentral lists this ribosomal RNA (1026 nucleotides) under Fusarium sp. G345. RNAcentral's name for it is "eukaryotic LSU rRNA". The stretch from base 505 to 1026 matches the Rfam family "Eukaryotic large subunit ribosomal RNA", at positions 1 to 534 of the family's 3401-position model. Lineage: Eukaryota; Fungi; Ascomycota; Sordariomycetes; Hypocreales; Nectriaceae. The record is from RNAcentral.
ACAAGGUCGUGGUGACCAGCGGAGGGAUCAUUACCGAGUUUACAACUCCCAAACCCCUGUGAACAUACCAAUUGUUGCCUCGGCGGAUCAGCCCGCUCCCGGUAAAACGGGACGGCCCGCCAGAGGACCCCUAAACUCUGUUUCUAUAUGUAACUUCUGAGUAAAACCAUAAAUAAAUCAAAACUUUCAACAACGGAUCUCUUGGUUCUGGCAUCGAUGAAGAACGCAGCAAAAUGCGAUAAGUAAUGUGAAUUGCAGAAUUCAGUGAAUCAUCGAAUCUUUGAACGCACAUUGCGCCCGCCAGUAUUCUGGCGGGCAUGCCUGUUCGAGCGUCAUUUCAACCCUCAAGCCCCCGGGUUUGGUGUUGGGGAUCGGCGAGCCCUUGCGGCAAGCCGGCCCCGAAAUCUAGUGGCGGUCUCGCUGCAGCUUCCAUUGCGUAGUAGUAAAACCCUCGCAACUGGUACGCGGCGCGGCCAAGCCGUUAAACCCCCAACUUCUGAAUGUUGACCUCGGAUCAGGUAGGAAUACCCGCUGAACUUAAGCAUAUCAAUAAGCGGAGGAAAAGAAACCAACAGGGAUUGCCCUAGUAACGGCGAGUGAAGCGGCAACAGCUCAAAUUUGAAAUCUGGCUCUCGGGCCCGAGUUGUAAUUUGUAGAGGAUACUUUUGAUGCGGUGCCUUCCGAGUUCCCUGGAACGGGACGCCAUAGAGGGUGAGAGCCCCGUCUGGUUGGAUGCCAAAUCUCUGUAAAGUUCCUUCGACGAGUCGAGUAGUUUGGGAAUGCUGCUCUAAAUGGGAGGUAUAUGUCUUCUAAAGCUAAAUACCGGCCAGAGACCGAUAGCGCACAAGUAGAGUGAUCGAAAGAUGAAAAGCACUUUGAAAAGAGAGUUAAAAAGUACGUGAAAUUGUUGAAAGGGAAGCGUUUAUGACCAGACUUGGGCUUGGUUAAUCAUCUGGGGUUCUCCCCAGUGCACUUUUCCAGUCCAGGCCAGCAUCAGUUUUCCCCGGGGGAUAAAGACUUCGGGAA